This 1193-nucleotide long non-coding RNA is filed under the name Rhinopithecus bieti (black snub-nosed monkey). Its description in RNAcentral is "lncRNA (ENSRBIG00000046410.1)". Lineage: Eukaryota; Metazoa; Chordata; Mammalia; Primates; Cercopithecidae. The record is from RNAcentral.
GCUGGAUCUUGGUGCUUUAAGUGACAUCACCGGAACACUAUUGUUCUUCAUCUAUUGGACUCUGCUUUUUAUUGUGUUGGCUGCAUCCUCAGGCAUAUUCUCCCACUAUAGUAAGAGUCUUCCUCACAUUUCCAGAUUUACAUCACAAAGAGAGUUUGUCCUUCACCAUAGUUCCAGAAGUUCCAGAAUUUUCGUUGGACUCGGGCUGACUUCAGUCACAUCCCAAAAACACCCACUGUGUGAUGGCACACACAGUGUUUCAGUUGGCCGGACCGAGGUAAAAUGAUCUCCUCUAGAACCAAAGGUGGAGUCAGAACACAGAGUGAGGAGAGACUGAUUUCUAAAGGAAAACCAAGAGUCAGCUACAGAAUAGAAGGGAAAUGGAUUUUGGAAGCCCUGAAAAAACAGGAAAUUGUUUAUAAAGAUUAGCAGACAAUACAUCAAAGGGGAAGUUCUAUAGACAUUUCCCAAGCUUUUAAUUCACAGAAACAUGAAUCAAUGCCAUUUGCUCAUCAUAAUUCAUAGAAGCUUGUACUAUCUCCAUGUGUUCUUAUAGCAAUUUUUGCCAUAAUGUUUAGAUAUGGUAACUAGAAUUUCUGAGUCAUAGUGCUUUACACUAAUAUGUAUAAAACAUUAUGUUUUGAAAAUAAAAUAUUUUCUAGUGUUUAUUCUGACAGGGCAUUCUAAAAACUAGAAUAAUGAACUCAGAGCCUCAUUUUUAUUGGUUCCUGCCCAAUAACAAAUUCUUGACCGGAUUGAAUUUCGCAUUUGAAUUCUCUUCACUCUUGUUGGACUGAUAAGACCUCAGUGUUGAUGCUUAUCAAUUCAACUAAUAAAAAGCUUCCUAAAGAUGUGAUGGCACACAUAUGAGACUACAGGGAGUUUAUUUUUUGGUGUGAAUUAAAGAUUUGUGGCUUAUUGUUUUAUAAUAAGUUACUACAACAACAUUAAGGAAAAGCCAAGUAGCAUGUUCAAUAGUCUGGAUCAUUUCUACCAUCAUUUCAUUAUCAUCCUGUUGAUUUCCUCUCUCUUCCCUAGAAUGCACUGGGCAGAGGGACAAUAGAAUUUCCACCAGGUGACCUUUUGGAAUAGCAUUCCAUAGUUUAGCACUCCUGAAAUUUUCUCUAAAGGUAAUUGUAGAAGUAAAAAUACUGGUUUUCUCUCAGAAAAUCUGGGUCUAAGUCUUAUUUCUC